CCUGAAACCGUGUACGUACAAGCAGUGGGAGCCCCACCACUAAGCCAGUGGUGAACUCCACAUACGCAUCCUUUGCUGAGGAUACGGUUAACGGAGCGAAAGCGACGUUCAACCGCAAAAGAAGCAGAGGGGGCUUAGUGGUGGGGUGACUGCGUACCUUUUGUAUAAUGGGUCAGCGACUUAUAUUCUGUAGCAAGGUUAACCGUAUAGGGGAGCCGUAGGGAAACCGAGUCUUAACCGGGCGUUAAGUUGCAGGGUAUAGACCCGAAACCCGGUGAUCUAGCCAUGGGCAGGUUGAAGGUUGGGUAACACUAACUGGAGGACCGAACCGACUAAUGUUGAAAAAUUAGCGGAUGACCUGUGGCUGGGGGUGAAAGGCCAAUCAAACCGGGAGAUAGCUGGUUCUCCCCGAAAGCUAUUUAGGUAGCGCCUCGUGAAUUCAUCUCCGGGGGUAGAGCACUGUUUCGGCUAGGGGGCCAUCCCGGCUUACCAACCCGAUGCAAACUGCGAAUACCGGAGAAUGUUAUCACGGGAGACACACGGCGGGUGCUAACGUCCGUCGUGAAGAGGGAAACAACCCAGACCGCCAGCUAAGGUCCCAAAGUCAUGGUUAAGUGGGAAACGAUGUGGGAAGGCCCAGACAGCCAGGAUGUUGGCUUAGAAGCAGCCAUCAUUUAAAGAAAGCGUAAUAGCUCACUGGUCGAGUCGGCCUGCGCGGAAGAUGUAACGGGGCUAAACCAU
This 741-nucleotide ribosomal RNA is filed under the name Salmonella enterica subsp. enterica serovar Thompson. RNAcentral's name for it is "partial 23S ribosomal RNA". It matches the Rfam family "Bacterial large subunit ribosomal RNA", at positions 549 to 1190 of the family's 2925-position model. Lineage: Bacteria; Pseudomonadati; Pseudomonadota; Gammaproteobacteria; Enterobacterales; Enterobacteriaceae. The record is from RNAcentral.